RNAcentral lists this long non-coding RNA (1062 nucleotides) under Bemisia tabaci. RNAcentral's name for it is "lncRNA ENSSSA3NGG009339". Lineage: Eukaryota; Metazoa; Arthropoda; Insecta; Hemiptera; Aleyrodidae. The record is from RNAcentral.
UCGAAAUGGAGAAAGAAAAAAAUGGGCAGUAGCCCAGUAACUGUCGGCAUUUUUCAUCGAAGUUUGUUGGCUCAAAGAUGCAAAGUGAGAGGAAGGACAGUGUAAGAUUUUUUAGAUAGUAUGAGGCGUGCGGUGAUUGGUUAAAUCAGUCGAGGAUUCUGCGUUUGCCUAGACUUGAUAGUCAAUGUCAAAAUAAUGAAUAUGGUCAUGUUGAAAUCAGCUUCCUGUUGUUACUGAGGAGAUCGAUCAGUUGUCAUGAUUGAUAGUCAGCAAUUCACUGAGAUCCAUCAUUGGAUGCUUUGAUAACAUAUUUUAGCGGGCUCACAUGGUGAACCUGACAGUGACGAGAAUGGUGUUGGCUGACAAGCCGAAUGGCGUGAUACAAGUUAUUUUCCUGUGUUUGAUCACCACUCUUGAGUCUCACUCCUCCUCCUCCUCCUCCUCAGGCCUGCUUACGGCUCCCGAACAACAGAUCGCUGAGGCAACUAAUCUAUUGGUGAGAGAAAAGAGACAAGGUGCAGAAAUUUGUGAUUUUGGUGCGGAGCCUAAUUUGAUAUUCUGCGAUUGGAGUAACAGAAACUCAACCAUAUUAAGAUGGGAGCUGGGUGCAGGAACCUUAGCAAACUGGAUUGGUGGACCCAGUAAAGAUGCAGGCAGUGAUGACAACAGCAAAGGAGGCUAUAUUUUCUUUGAGACUUCUUUGCUAGCUGCACCAGUCUUGCGAAUUGAGGACAUUGGAGUUAGAGAUGGUCAAAAUGCCUACAUUGAAAGUGCUAUUCAGAUGUCAACAGGAGCAGAAGGAAAAUGUGUCUCUUUCAGUUUCUCCAUUGACGGUUUAAGUGCGGCUGGUUUACGAGUCAUUUUGCAGCCAGUCAAGAUGGAAGACCUGAUGGAUUUUUCCGGGUUCUUUGGGGAACUAAGGACCCUUCAAAUCGAAUGUGGAUGGAGGCAGAAGUACUUUAUACCUAUAAUAGAGACCAUCAAAUCGUUUUCGAAGGUGUCGCCAAAGAGUUACCUGACCCUUUCCGCAAGUUUCGAGGUUUUGUCGCUGUAGACAAUGUG